CACGGCGCACGGGUGCGUAACACGUGGGCAAUCUGCCCUCCGAUGGGGAAUAACCCCGCGAAAGCGGGGCUAAUACCGCAUAACAUUCCUUGAGCGAUGGUUUGAGGAUUCAAAGCAGCAAUGCGUCGGAGGAGGAGCCCGCGCCCGAUUAGCUAGUUGGUGAGGUAAUGGCUCACCAAGGCAAUGAUCGGUAGCUGGUCUGAGAGGAUGAUCAGCCACACUGGAACUGAGACACGGUCCAGACUCCUACGGGAGGCAGCAGUGGGGAAUCUUGCACAGUGGGCGAAAGCCUGAUGCAGCGACGCCGCGUGGGGGAUGAAGCUUCUCGGAGUGUAAACCCCUUUCGCCUGGGACGAAUGCCCGCAAGGGAGUGACGGUACCAGGAUAAGAAGCCCCGGCUAACUACGUGCCAGCAGCCGCGGUAAGACGUAGGGGGCCAGCGUUGUUCGGAAUUACUGGGUGUAAAGGGUUCGUAGGCGGUGUGGCAAGUUGGAGUGAAAUCUCUGGGCUCAACCCAGAGGCUGCUUCCAA
Molecule: ribosomal RNA, 531 nt
Filed under: uncultured bacterium
Lineage: Bacteria
Description: bacterial SSU rRNA
Rfam family: Bacterial small subunit ribosomal RNA
Source: RNAcentral